This 253-nucleotide ribosomal RNA is filed under the name uncultured bacterium. Its description in RNAcentral is "partial 16S ribosomal RNA". It matches the Rfam family "Bacterial small subunit ribosomal RNA", at positions 524 to 776 of the family's 1533-position model. The record is from RNAcentral.
UACGUAGGGUGCGAGCGUUAAUCGGAAUUACUGGGCGUAAAGCGUGCGCAGGCGGUUCGUUGUGUCGGCGGUGAAAGCCCCGGGCUUAACCUGGGAAUGGCCGUUGAAACUGGCGAACUGGAGUGUGGCAGAGGGGGGUGGAAUUCCGCGUGUAGCAGUGAAAUGCGUAGAGAUGCGGAGGAACACCGAUGGCGAAGGCGGCCUUCUGGACAGUGACUGACGCUGAGACGCGAAAGCGUGGGGAGCAAACAGG